GGUGACGUAGCUCAGCUGGUAGAGCAGGGGACUCAUAAGCCUCGUGUCGCAGGUUCGAAUCCUGCCGUCACCA
RNAcentral lists this transfer RNA (73 nucleotides) under Pseudomonadota bacterium. RNAcentral's name for it is "tRNA-Met". It matches the Rfam family "tRNA". From Rfam's summary of the family: Transfer RNA (tRNA) molecules are approximately 80 nucleotides in length. Their secondary structure includes four short double-helical elements and three loops (D, anti-codon, and T loops). Lineage: Bacteria; Pseudomonadati; Pseudomonadota. RNAcentral also lists the same sequence under 3 other names. The record is from RNAcentral.